RNAcentral lists this long non-coding RNA (1186 nucleotides) under Lathyrus oleraceus (garden pea). RNAcentral describes it as "Pisum sativum (pea) long non-coding RNA (PSAT_LNC011611)". Lineage: Eukaryota; Viridiplantae; Streptophyta; Magnoliopsida; Fabales; Fabaceae. The record is from RNAcentral.
AAGGAGUGUGAUUCUGAGGGAGAGUGAUCAAGAGAGAGUGAAUGUGAGCUGAAUUCAAAUUCUAUUGAGAGAAAUUCAGAGGUAUUCAGAGAGGGAUCGAGACAGAAUCCAGAAGUGUGAGCAAUGUGAAAUUUGGUGAAAAAUGAAUCGCCAAGAAGAGCCAAUGAUUGGGAAAAUGAUGAUUUAUGUAAGGGUGAGGCUUGAGAGGGUAGAUUAGGGAAUUUAAUCUGAGUUAGUUAGAUUCUGGUGAUGAGCUGGAAAUUCUAUUAAUGAAUUCAUUGAGCAAUUCGGAAACUAAUUGUGAAUCUGGAAAUUGAGGUGCUGCUGUGAGUUUAGCUUGAAUUUGUUUCACGUGAAAAAUUUGUGGUAAUUUGAAUAUGAGUUCAGCUGAGCUGGAAAUGAUUGAUGGUCUAAAUUAUGUUAAUAGUUUUUCCCUGCUAUAUUCUACUAAAACAAUUUUGUUAGAAACUAGUGAUGCAAUUAGUAUUACGUCUGAUCAUACUGUUAAAGAUUGUUAAUGAUGUGAAACUGUUAAUCUGGUCUGUUAGGAUUGUGAGGCAAUUAAUUUGAAACUUACUUGACUGCUAUGUUUAUGUACUGUUAUGAACGAAUUUGUUGGCUAUUGAAUUAUUGUGCAGGUGUAACCGGUUACCACUAUGAAAGUUGGUGCUCUAGACUGCAAUAAGGGGCCACGUGAAGCAGGUGUAACCGGUUACCCACAUGAAGGUUGGUGGUUCCUGGGUGCAAACAAGGUUAUGUGAAGCAGGUGUAACCGGUUACCGUAACCAGUUACCAACACAAUAAUGAGGGUUCUGGGUUACAUGAUGAGCCUGUGUGCAGCUGGCGUAACCGGUUACCAUACAAAAAAUGGUGUUUUGGGGUUCAACUUUAUGCUAACUUGAAGGUGCAUCAUGGAGAACGGAAUGGUAGCUGCAAAGUUCAAAGUUCCUUUCAUUUGGCACUUGAUUUAAGCUAUGUAUGGUGAUUCUAUGUAUUUAUUAAGUAACAUGAGAAUGUAAAUGCAAAUGCAAAUGCAAACUAUGCUUAUGUAAUGAACAUUAAUCAAUUCAAUUUUAUGAUUCAAGAUUAAAUCAAAUUUCUCUCUUUUUGUAUGAAAUGUAUGAAAAACUCUAAUGAAAUGCAAGUUUCUAUAGUAGAAUGUAAAUUGUUUCCACUUUAAAUCGAA